This 253-nucleotide ribosomal RNA is filed under the name uncultured bacterium. RNAcentral's name for it is "partial 16S ribosomal RNA". It matches the Rfam family "Bacterial small subunit ribosomal RNA", at positions 524 to 776 of the family's 1533-position model. The record is from RNAcentral.
UACGGGGGGGGCAAGCGUUGUUCGGAAUUACUGGGCGUAAAGGGCGCGUAGGCGGCAUGGCAAGUCGGGAGUGAAAGGCCUGGGCUCAACCGAGGAACUGCUUUCGAGACUGCCAAGCUAGAGUGCGGAAGGGGCAUCUGGAAUUCCCAGUGUAGCGGUGAAAUGCGUAGAUAUUGGGAAGAACACCUGAGGCGAAGGCGGGAUGCUGGGCCGACACUGACGCUGAGGCGCGAAAGCCAGGGGAGCAAACGGG